GCGGGCAUAACUCAGUUGGUAGAGUACGAGCUUCCCAAGCUCGGAGUCGCGAGUUCGAAUCUCGUUGCCCGCUCCA
RNAcentral lists this transfer RNA (76 nucleotides) under Desulfatibacillum aliphaticivorans. Its description in RNAcentral is "tRNA-Gly (CCC) (tRNA-Gly-CCC-1-1)". It matches the Rfam family "tRNA". From Rfam's summary of the family: Transfer RNA (tRNA) molecules are approximately 80 nucleotides in length. The record is from RNAcentral. RNAcentral also lists the same sequence under 1 other name. Lineage: Bacteria; Pseudomonadati; Thermodesulfobacteriota; Desulfobacteria; Desulfobacterales; Desulfatibacillaceae.